GAUGAAGAACGCAGCGAAAUGCGAUAAGUAAUGCGAAUUGCAGAAUUCAGUGAAUCAUCGAAUCUUUGAACGCACAUUGCGCCCGCCAGUAUUCUGGCGGGCAUGCCUGUCUGAGCGUCGUUUCGACCCUCGCGCCCGGCUUCUGUCGGGGGCGGUGUUGGGGAUCGGCCACACCCUUCAGUGGGAGGCCGGCCCCUAAAUUCAGUGGCGACCACGCUGUAGCCUCCCCUGCGUAGUACUAAAACCACCUCGCAGGCGGAGAGCGGUGCGGCCCGCCGUAAAACCCCCCAACUUUUACAAGGUCGACCUCAGAUCAGGUAGGAAUACCCGCUGAACUUAAGCAUAUCAAUAGCGGAGGA
Molecule: unclassified non-coding RNA, 359 nt
Filed under: soil metagenome
Description: partial contains 5.8S ribosomal RNA, internal transcribed spacer 2, and large subunit ribosomal RNA
Rfam family: 5.8S ribosomal RNA (bases 1-120)
Source: RNAcentral